AUGCUCGCUUCAGCAGCACAUAUACUAAAAUUGGAAAGAUACAGAGAAGAUUAGCAUGGCUUCUGCACAAGAAUUAAUCACACUGUGAAAUUAUUCUU
Molecule: small nuclear RNA, 98 nt
Filed under: Carlito syrichta (Philippine tarsier)
Lineage: Eukaryota; Metazoa; Chordata; Mammalia; Primates; Tarsiidae
Source: RNAcentral